Molecule: long non-coding RNA, 236 nt
Filed under: Brassica napus (rape)
Lineage: Eukaryota; Viridiplantae; Streptophyta; Magnoliopsida; Brassicales; Brassicaceae
Description: long non-coding RNA (BNAP_LNC012432)
Source: RNAcentral
UGUAUAGUUCUAUAAUCUUAUUGUUUAGGCAUAAUAUACGUAAUGAUUAAUAUACAUUGAUUUGUUUUAUAUAUUUUAUUUUUUUAUUAAUUUUUAUUACUUAUUAAUAUAUUUCUUAGUUCAGCACAAUAAAUUCACAAUCUAAAAUAAUCAAAUACACAGUCUCCUAUAAUAUAAUUUUUAAAUUUCUAUAGUUUUAUACAAUACAUUUUAAUAUUAUUUAGUUAUACUAUAGA